CAAGAGCAUUUUCAAUCAAUGGGAAUUGGCCCCAGUACAUUCGCACAGUCCAUGCUUGCAAUGGUGUACCCGCAGUUCUGUCUACAAUAUUCAAGAGUUGUCGGCAUCAGUGUCCCAUGCAGACCAGAAAACCUUGAUGGUCCUCUCCAGCAUGUGAUGAGGCUGGACCAUUCCCAGAGAGAACGGCAAAAAGCAGGACGACCAUUCCAGGCAAGAACGCGAAUGCGUACGUGGAAUGGGAAAUCAUUCUACGAUGGAAACCAGCCUCGGCGAUGGUUCGUUUCGAAAUAGUCUGCGCUGGAACGGUCGUGGGAGUCUGAAACGGAGGGAGAGUCUCGUUGCACCUUGGAUCGUUUUGCUUCCCAUUCCUUACUGGCAAAAACGCCCCUGUCUGCGAUCUGAAGUCGCUUCAAUUUUGACUGCGUUCGUUGUGUCAGAGCUCCGAUCCGCACACUCUGUCUUUCGCUUAACAUGGACUUGUUGCUGGCGGAUUUUAAGCUGGAUUUGAAACUUGUAUCCUGAUCGCGACAAGCGGGGUAUACUAUGGAGAGAGACUGAGCGAGGAGGAAAAACUUUGGCGAUGGAGACAGUAGAAGUGCGAAACAUGCAGAACGAGGACUCAGAAUCGCUGGAGGUGGUAGUGGCAGAGCAUUUGAAACAGCUGCAGAAGAAGCAAAAAUUCGAAUUUGCAGCACAAGCUCUUACUAGUAUUGUUCAAGAGCGUUAUGCAGAUGCAACUCCAGCAGAACAGAAUGCAAUUUAUGGGGCAGUCUGUAGAGCAGCCACACUUUUGACGAUUAGAUUUACUGGAACAGCCUUUGGGUGUCUGGUCUUCUGCUUUUUGAAUCUGCUGCAGCUGUUGUAAAACGGCCAGAAGAGAAGAAGAAAAUCAGUGAAUACUUCAAAUUGGCAAAUGAAUUUAUUGGAGAGCAAAUAGAGAGAGAUGAACCACCUCCUUCUAUGCAUGCGGGCCCCAGUAAUCGAGGGCAUCUUUCUGAGGGCCAGUUUUCUGUUGGAGGUGGAGUGGAAGCACCGCCUUUGCAGUGGUUGCAGUCGCAGAAUCUCCUCAAUUCUAUUUUACGAGAACGCUUUCAACAGAUGGCAACACGGGAGGAAAUUAUUUCUGGUGAGGAUCGCAAUGAGGUGCAACAACUAACGGAAGAGAUACCAACCAUAAUGGAUACAGUCAAUUCCACACUUGCUGGAAAUCGGUAGUGUUUCUCGAGGCCCACCCCCAGCAUCUAAGAAGGAAGUUGCAAAGCUCCCAAUAGUUGAAGUCAGAAAGGAGUAUCUUGAAAAAGUGGGCGAAGAUACCGAGUGUGCUGUUUGUCAGGAGACAAUGGUAGC
This is a non-coding RNA of Physcomitrium patens, 1347 nucleotides long. The record is from RefSeq and is a predicted model, not a curated record. NCBI's taxonomy places the organism in Eukaryota, Viridiplantae, Streptophyta, Bryopsida, Funariales, Funariaceae.